GGCGACGGUUGCAGCAAGUCAACCGAGCCAGCCCGUGGCGACGGCGGCCACGCCGUCUGGCUGCAGUUCGGGGCACGCAAUGUUGAUGCGCUGCAUGGCGUCAAGUUGUUGGUCUUCAAGCACGAGCACGAGUUCGUCGAGGUUGACGCCGGCGAGGCGCUCGGCGUCGGCGGCCGGCAAGAGGGAACGGGCCACGCGCGCAUGCACCAGCGCCGAGUUGGCGUGCAAAAGGGCGACCACCGGGUUUUGGUCUUGCGCGGUGACGACGCUGCCCUGCGAGGCGUGGCGCACAAGACUGCGGAAGCGGUCGACCAGCGCUGGCGGGUAGCGGUUGCGGGCGUCGCGGCGCUCGAGGCCGCGCGCGACGAGCGCCAGCACGGUCACGAGGAGGAUGAUGGCGGCGGCACACACCAAUGCGAUCUUGAAUCGCGCGGCGCUCUUGGCGGCGGGCACCACGGCGCCCGACGCCGUCGUAGCGGCGGGCGAUGCGGGAGGCCCAUGUCGGGACGCAUCCAUAGACUGUGACGACAACGACGGCAGCAGUAGAGCGCGUAAACAAAGGCGACCCUUUUUCUUCCCCCAGGCGACCCCGAUGGGUCAGCGCGGCCGCAUCGUCGCCGGCGCGCGGCGUCGACCCCCACUCGCAAUGCGCCUGCACCGCCCAACCCCCUAAAUAAAAUAGAAAAAAAAUCGACAUUAAAAAAUAGAACAAAAUAACAAAC
This 722-nucleotide long non-coding RNA is filed under the name Pandoravirus quercus. RNAcentral's name for it is "hypothetical ncRNA". The record is from RNAcentral.